RNAcentral lists this unclassified non-coding RNA (283 nucleotides) under fungal sp. Its description in RNAcentral is "partial internal transcribed spacer region". The stretch from base 1 to 46 matches the Rfam family "Eukaryotic small subunit ribosomal RNA", at positions 1786 to 1831 of the family's 1831-position model. The record is from RNAcentral. Lineage: Eukaryota; Fungi.
AAGUCGUAACAAGGUUUCCGUAGGUGAACCUGCGGAAGGAUCAUUAGCAAAAAUCUGUUUGGUUAUAAGGGUUGGAAAGGGGGUAUAGGGAGGAUUUGGGGGGAGGUUUUAAAUUUCCUUCUCUUUUCUCUCUAUCUCUCUACCUCUCUCUACUAACCAAAAUAUUCACUCGGACUGUCUAUCAUGGACAGUCUCGAGAUAUAUUCACGAUUGUAUUGUUUGACAGAGUCAUGUGACCUUAUAAAAAAAAAGAUAACUUUUAACAAUGGAUCUCUUGGCUCUU